RNAcentral lists this ribosomal RNA (355 nucleotides) under uncultured bacterium. RNAcentral's name for it is "bacterial SSU rRNA". It matches the Rfam family "Bacterial small subunit ribosomal RNA", at positions 59 to 430 of the family's 1533-position model. The record is from RNAcentral.
AAGUCGAACGAUUAAGCUCCUUCGGGAGUGUAUAAAGUGGCGAAAGUGGCGAGGAAUACGUUCCUACGUACCCCGAGGUCGAGGAUAGCCCAGGGAAACUUGGAGUAAUACUCGAUGUGGUCUUCGGAUCAAAGAUUUAUCGCCUUGGGAGCGGGGAACGCCCUAUCAGCUUGUUGGUGAGGUAACGGCUCACCAAGGCUUAGACGGGUAGCGGGUGUGAGAGCAUGACCCGCCGCAUCGGGACUGAGACACUGCCCGGACUCCUACGGGAGGCUGCAGUAACGAAUAUUCCGCAAUGCGCGAAAGCGUGACGGAGCAAUGCCGCGUGCAGGAUGAAGCCCCUCGGGGUGUAAAC